AGGCUGGGGCAGCUUACACAUGCAGUCGAGCGGAACGAUACCCGCUUGCUGGUAGGCGUCGAGCGGCGGACGGGUGAGUAAUACUUAGGAAUCUACCUAGUAGUGGGGGAUAGCUCGGGGAAACUCGAAUUAAUACCGCAUACGACCUACGGGAGAAAGGGGGCAGUUUACUGCUCUCGCUAUUAGAUGAGCCUAAGUCGGAUUAGCUAGAUGGUGGGGUAAAGGCCUACCAUGGCGACGAUCUGUAGCUGGUCUGAGAGGAUGAUCAGCCACACCGGGACUGAGACACGGCCCGGACUCCUACGGGAGGCAGCAGUGGGGAAUAUUGGACAAUGGGGGAAACCCUGAUCCAGCCAUGCCGCGUGUGUGAAGAAGGCCUUUUGGUUGUAAAGCACUUUAAGCAGUGAAGAAGACUCCUCGGUUAAUACCCGUGGACGAUGACAUUAGCUGCAGAAUAAGCACCGGCUAACUCUGUGCCAGCAGCCGCGGUAAUACAGAGGGUGCAAGCGUUAAUCGGAAUUACUGGGCGUAAAGCGAGCGUAGGUGGCUUGAUAAGUCAGAUGUGAAAUCCCCGGGCUUAACCUGGGAACUGCAUCUGAAACUGUUAGGCUAGAGUAGGUGAGAGGAAGGUAGAAUUCCAGGUGUAGCGGUGAAAUGCGUAGAGAUCUGGAGGAAUACCGAUGGCGAAGGCAGCCUUCUGGCAUCAUACUGACACUGAGGCUCGAAAGCGUGGGUAGCAAACAGGAUUAGAUACCCUGGUAGUCCACGCCGCAAACGAUGUCUACUAGUCGUUGGGUCCCUUGAGGACUUAGUGACGCAGCUAACGCAAUAAGUAGACCGCCUGGGGAGUACGGCCGCAAGGUUAAAACUCAAAUGAAUUUGACGGGGGCCCGCACAAGCGGUGGAGCAUGUGCUUUAAUUUCGAUGCAACGCGAAGAACCUUACCUGGUCUUGACAUAUCUAGAUCCUGCAGAGAUGCGGGAGUGCCUUCGGGAAUUAGAAUAACAGGUGCUGCAUGGCUGUCGUCAGCUCGGUGUC
Molecule: ribosomal RNA, 1038 nt
Filed under: uncultured bacterium
Lineage: Bacteria
Description: bacterial SSU rRNA
Rfam family: Bacterial small subunit ribosomal RNA
Source: RNAcentral